CCUACGGGAGGCAUCAGUGAGGAAUAUUGGUCAAUGGACGAGAGUCUGAACCAGCCAAGUAGCGUGAAGGAUGACUGCCCUAUGGGUUGUAAACUUCUUUUAUCAAGGAAUAAAACGAGGCACGUGUGCCUUUUUGCAUGUACUUUAUGAAUAAGGAUCGGCUAACUCCGUGCCAGCAGCCGCGGUAAUACGGAGGAUCCGAGCGUUAUCCGGAUUUAUUGGGUUUAAAGGGAGCGUAGAUGGGUUGUUAAGUCAGUUGUGAAAGUUUGCGGCUCAACCGUAAAAUUGCAAUUGAUACUGGCAGUCGUGAGUACAGUUGAGGUAGGCGGAAUUCGUGGUGUAGCGGUGAAAUGCUUAGAUAUCACGAAGAACCCCGAUUGCGAAGGCAGCUUACUAAACUGUGACUGACAUUGAUGCUCGAAAGUGUGGGUAUCAAACAGGAUUAGAUACCCGUGUAGUC
This 460-nucleotide ribosomal RNA is filed under the name uncultured bacterium. RNAcentral describes it as "partial 16S ribosomal RNA". It matches the Rfam family "Bacterial small subunit ribosomal RNA", at positions 338 to 795 of the family's 1533-position model. The record is from RNAcentral.